Molecule: ribosomal RNA, 305 nt
Filed under: uncultured bacterium
Lineage: Bacteria
Description: partial 16S ribosomal RNA
Rfam family: Bacterial small subunit ribosomal RNA
Source: RNAcentral
ACAGCAGUAGCCGCGGGAAUACGUAGGUGGCAAGCGUUGUCCGGAAUUAUUGGGCGUAAGGGGCUCGCAGGCGGUUUCUUAAGUCUGAUGUGAAAGCCCCCGGCUCAACCGGGGAGGGUCAUUGGAAACUGGGAAACUUGAGUGCAGAAGAGGAGAGUGGAAUUCCACGUGUAGCGGUGAAAUGCGUAGAGAUGUGGAGGAACACCAGUGGCGAAGGCGACUCUCUGGUCUGUAACUGACGCUGAGGAGCGAAAGCGUGGGGAGCGAACAGGAUUAGAUACCCGAGUAGUCCCUGUCUCUUAUAC